Molecule: long non-coding RNA, 609 nt
Organism: Cydia fagiglandana
Lineage: Eukaryota; Metazoa; Arthropoda; Insecta; Lepidoptera; Tortricidae
Exons: 2
Source: RefSeq, a predicted model, not a curated record
GUGCCGGCGAGUCGAACGCUACAGAACCAGUCUAAAAUGUAACAUCCAGAUGCGUAACAAAGGCGCGUUAUCGGAGAGCGCACUUACAUUGGUUAUUUGAGCGUUGGACUAGCCCGCGCUCAGGUGUCAAUUAGAAUUACACGACCUUUUUAGGGUUCCGUAGCCAAAUGGCAAAAAACGGAACCCUUAUAGAUUCGUCGUGUCUGUCUGUCCGUCCGUAUGUCACAGCCACUUUUUUCCGAAACUAUAAGAACUAUACUGUUGAAAUUUGGUAAGUGGAUGUAUUCUGUGAACCGCAUUAAGAUUUUCACACAAAAAUAGAAAAAAACAAUAAAUUUUGGGGGUUCCCCAUACUUAGAACAGAAACUCAAUUUUUUUUCUUUCAUUAAACCCAUACGCGUGGGGUAUCUAUGGAUAGGUCUUUAAAAAUGAUAUUGAGGUUUCUAAUAUAUUUUUUUUCUAAACGGAAUAGUUUGCUCGAGAGACACUUCCAAAGUGGUAAAAUAGAAUGAUAAAACUAAAAAAAAUAUAUGAUAUACAUUACCAUACAAACUUCCACCUAAAAUUGGUUUGAACGAGAUCUAGUAAGUAGUAUUUUUUUAAUCGUCA